AGCCCUGCAUCGUGCCAUCUCCCAAGUGGUGCCUUUCCUUUGUUUAUUAUAAAUGUUAGGAAAUGUUACACUCAUUGAGGAAUGUACUGGUACAAAUGAUAUUAUAUGAAUAUAAUAUAGGAAUAAAACCAAACAUAUAAAAAUAUGCCUCCCCAAAAGCUAGGCCACUGCACAAGAUGAACAUGUGUUAGGCAUUGCAGUAAAGAACAUAGGAUGCAUUAGGCCAUUCAUUGCAUCCCUACAAAAGAGCAACUUAUAAAAACAUGUGUUAGGCAUUGCAGUAAAGAACAUAGGAUGCAUUAGGCCAUUCAUUGCAUCCCUACAAAAGAGCAACUUAUAAAAACAUGUGUUAGGCAUUGCAGUAAAGAACAUAGGAUACAUUAGACCAUUCAUUGCAUCCCUACAAAAGAGCAACGUAUAAAAAGAGAAACCAGUAAGACAGUUGUUGUUGUUGGUGCGGUGAAUGUGGACCUCUGGUAACACAGUGAGCCCCUUCAUGUGUGUGUGUGUGUGUGUGUGUGUGUGUGUGUGUGUGUGUGAGGUGGUCCCUCAUGGUCACAGCGUCACUGCCUUCAAAACUCCUGCCUUCUGGCUUUUUUAGAAGCAAAGCCAUCGAUGACAUGGUCGUGUGAUGGCAGCUGUUUUCCAAUCUCCUGAUUGAUGCUGAUUAUUGCAAGUCCACUGAGGCCAUCUUGUCCCAUGGGUGGUAGGACUUUAUGAGCCUUAGCUCUGAAAAGCUCCUCUCUGUUGAGACCACAGUCACUGGGAGAGUGCCGGCAGUCUGUAGAGCAAUCCACAGAUUGCCGUAAAGUUCUUUCAGCUGAUUUUUGUGGAUGUUGGAGAGAAACCCCAGUGCAGUCAAGUCAUCCGAAGGCACGGGCGACAAGUUGUUGAUUUCAAGAGCCCGUGCCUUUCCAUCAAUGUGGUUGUUAUUCCCAGUGCUUAGAGUGGUACAGAGCUGCUUGUGGCAUUGCUUGGACAACGCCUCACCAGCCAGUCUUAUAAAGUUGAACAGCAGCACUCCAAAUUUGUCUCUGAUUUCUGCCAGUGUUUGAAAGCUUUCCUUUAAUGAGUCAAAGGUGGUGUCCACAACCACGUUAAAGAAUUCAGUUGGUAACCUCUUGAUAGCCUGGUGCUUCAUAGGCAAAGUGUUUCUCUGUGCCUCUUAAGCACAGGAUUCAUCUGGUCGCAUACAGCAGCAAAGCUCUGUAUCUUCUCACUGAGGCUGUUGCCUUCAUGAGGAGGUCAAGUGCUACAUCAAGCUGCAGGAGCCUGCUCCUUGCUUGGCCCCAUUGUCAUACGACUGUCCUCUGCAGUUGUCAGAAGGAAUACUCAGGCCUGUUCAGAAUCAAAUAUGAUAAACAAAGACCUGUGUUGUUUGGGAAGCCACAAGAAAUGCUAGAAAGUGUUCCUUGAGUUCCAGCGCUUCAUCAGUGUUGACGGUCCUUGUGACAACCAACAUCUGGCUUGCGUCAGGAGUACCAUGACUCAACAAUACUUGGACCGUUUAAUCUCAACCACCACGGAGUCCAACAUUUUCCUAGUGAUUGAAGCAGUCAGCCCAUUUUGUAUCACAUUUCCAAGGUAGCCGGAAUGACUGGACUGCCCACGAUGCUGCUUCAUGGCAGGAUCAAAUUUGGCGAGCAGCUCCGGCCACCUCUUUUAAGACAUUUCCAUUGUGUUGUUGUGUUAGUAGACAAUGCAAGAUUUCUCUCAGCUAGAGAUUGUACGAUAGAGAUCAGGCAGGUCAGGACAUCCCUCUUCUCUGCCUCUGUCCUCUGGCCUUGAUCCAUGGUCGUGCCGAGGCAGUUCCAAAUCCUUCCAUGUUGUCAUGUGGCUGUGUUCUGGAGUGCCUUCAUGACUUUUCAGAAGUGUGCCUGUGUUUGUCCAGUUAGAGAGUCCCUCUGCCAUUAAUUUAACGUCCUUUCUUGAGAAUAGCUUGCAGCAAAGUACAUGUUUUUUCUCAGUAGGUUAGCCAAGUUUUCCCCAUUUGCAGGAAAUCAACACUUUGCUCUGUGAGUGUUUAUCUCCUUCAGCUUUCUUCUUUUUUCUUUGCUGGGCACCAGAAGGGUGUAUUAUCCUUUUCCACGCCAUGUCGCCGCCACUCCUCACUCCACGCUGAGCCUGACACGGUGACGCUGCGUACAGCUUGCUGGAGGCAAAGCACUACAUGUACGUUCUGGAGGCCUAAUCCAAAUUUGAGGAGAAUAUGGCAAAAUACUUGAAAAUAUAUGAAUUUCUGGAUCAAUAAAGAAAAUUCAGUAAAUCUAUUGAUACACAACACACAUUUUAGUAAUAAUAAUAAUAAAAAAUAAUAACAAUGGCAGCUUGGGGGGCCUAUGCAACUGUUUGCACAUAACAAGAAACAUCCCUGAGUCUAGGCCAUCUUGAGACACAUGACAGCCACGGUAUAAAUCAACACAGAAUGAUGUGUUGUAUAGAAAGUCUCUUUAGCAAGGCAGCAUGUACGUAUGAGUUUUGUGAGUCAACAAGACCUGUAGUGAGUGUUUUGUUAGGACAAGUACAGCCAGCACCUUAGAUCAUGACACUCAGAGUGUGUUUGGACGAGAAAUAGAAGAAUUGACAGCUGCAGUGCCCUCUGUAGAAGAGAUCAUAAUGAAGAACCCAAACUUGGCAAUAGAUUUAAUACAUUGCAAUUGUCAGCUGUAGUGAUCCUUCAUACAAUAGACUGAUAGAUACAUAGAUUGUUACAUGCUUUAUUCAACAACUUCAUGGCUUGCAGUAAUAGAUAGGACAUCCGACAUAGAUAUUAUUAUUAUUACCAAUUAUUUAUUUAUUUAUUUUUUCAGCAUACAAGGACAUUGAGGAAGAGGAGGAAGAAGAAGGAGAGGAGGAGGAGGAGGAGGAGGAUAAAUAAUUAGUGAGAACAAAAUAUCAAUGAAAAAUAAGAAAAUGAGAGAAUAAAGUGAGAAAAUGAAAGAUAGUGAAAAGUGAGAUAGUGAGGAAAAAUAUUUACUACUGAAAAAAAGAAAGAGAGAGAGAGAUACAGAAUAAAGUGAGAAAGUGACUGGAUUACUACUACUACUACUACUACUACUACUACUACUACUACUACUACUACUACUACUACUAUCACUACUACUACUACUACUACUACUAUCACUACUACUACUACUACUACUACUUCUACUACUACUACUACUACUACUACUACGACCACUACUACUACUACUACUACUACUUUUUUUUUUUUUUACAGGCCUCCAUCUAUUAGAGUUGCGUUGUGAGCGGUAUAUUCUCUCAUAUCCUUUCACAAAGCAAUUCAUUGGCCCCACCCCGCCAAUGACUGUGGCCGACAACCAUCCUUAUUUAAUAUUACAAACCUUACUAAACAUAUUAUCUUUAAGCUAACCGAGCUUGUGGUUGAUACGACUAUCAACCACUGUCGCCUCAAAGUCCAGGUCGGCAAUGUGGGUGGUUUUGGGUGCAGGUGACCUGGUUCCUCUCAGGCAGACCAAGGCUGACCUCAGGAGGGAGAAGGACAGCCUGCAUCUCAUCCAGGCGACCACACUGCUUCUUGGCUACUACUACUACUACUACUACUACUACUACUACUACUACUACUACUACUACUACUACUACUACUACUACUACUACUAACUCUUCCUCCAACCUGCAGGAUGUGUGAAGAAGAAGAGGAAGGCUAGGAAGGCUCAGGAGGAAGGAGAGUCCCUCACUGCAUUGAGACUCAAGGGAAGGAGCCGAGAUGAGACCAGACUCAGCCCUCCAGUGAGCCCAGGUAACCACCAGGGGGACACCCACGCACCUCAUGGCUUAGGGGAAAAUGCAUGAAGGUGGUGGGUGAGUGAAGCAACGCACCCCCUGUGUAUGCUCAGGUCCCAGGCUACGUCAGGUCAGGGGCUGCCUCAAGAACAGACUCUUGCAGGGAGGGAGACAGAGACGAGACCACUGAGCCGAGGGAACCAGUCAGGCCUUCAAGAUGCUGGGGGAGACGAGACGAGUCCUGUUGGGGAGAAGAUGGAGGGAGAUUAAUUGAAGGGCAGAGAUGAGAGAGAGAGAUGGAACUAACUGUCUCUCUGUAUUUAUAUAAAGAGAAGACUAAUAAAGUUUGGAAAUAUAUAUUACAACGGAUAUAUUUAAACCUACUUCUCUUCUUCUUCUUCCUUGUCUCUUUCCUCUGUCCACCAGUGAGCUAUUGUAUUCUUCCCUUCCCUUCCCUUCCCUUCUCUUCUCUUCCCCUCCCCUCCCAAGAUGCCGCCUGGAUGCUGAGGGGAGAGAGAGAGAGAGGAUGAGAUGGCUCUCUCUCUCUCUCUCUUCUUUUCAAUGGACCUUAUACACUUUUACAUUACUUUUUUUUGUGAGAGAGAGAGUUCCAGCUUCCAGUCCCUUGCUGAGCUGAGUGACCAGACAGCACCAGCCAGUCAGCUAUAGCCCUGAAAAGAUAUAUGGUGGUUAGGUCCCGGUAGAUUGUGGUGGAGUGGUAGAAAUUGUGGUUGAAUGUCAGGUCUUGGGUUGAAAUUCUGGGGUUACAGAGUUGAAAAAGUUUUGAACAAGUUGAGUUUUUGGGGUUGAACUUGUGAUGACUGAUGGUUGAAUUGUGGUAGACUGGUAGAGGGAUGUUGGGCAAAUAUUGUGUGGUGGUUAGACCCUGGUAGAUUGUGGUAGACUGGCAGAAAUCAUGGUUGAAAGAGACAAUAGUAACUUACCACAUAUCAGCAACUUCCAGUGCCAGCUUCCAUCAGUUGC
Molecule: long non-coding RNA, 4728 nt
Organism: Eriocheir sinensis (Chinese mitten crab)
Lineage: Eukaryota; Metazoa; Arthropoda; Malacostraca; Decapoda; Varunidae
Exons: 3
Source: RefSeq, a predicted model, not a curated record